AUGAAGCCACCAAGGGAGCUUAGGUACAGGGUCCUGGUUUGGUACCUGUCUGAAGAACCACCUUUCUGCUCUGUGGGGAAUCACUGGCACAGUGAAAGGUCUGAGAAAGAGACAGGGAGUCAGGUGCCUUUCUCUCCCCCCCUGCAACAGAAACAGCAACAGCCUAAGCUUUCCACACUGUAUGGAGUUACUCCAUUCCAUGCUCUCUUCCAAGGACUUCCACCUAUUUAUGCAGCGAAAAGCAAACAGAAGUCCUCAAUGUGCUUUAAUGACGUCAUUGCACAGGCCAGCAGCUCUAGCAUGAAACUUUCCUCUGCAAAGCAAAUUGAGUUGCAGAGACUUACUCAUCUUCCCCAACUUCACGUGCUUUAAGAUUUCCAUAAAGCCGAGAACAUCUGUAUGAAGACUCUGUCCUUGAUGGAGAUAACUGUCAACACCAAGUCACAUGUUAUUCCACAUGAGGACAGGCACUGUCAUCUUAAUCCAGUUUUGUAUACCACAAAUUGAUUUCUCUGCAGGAGAGGAACAGUUGUUAAGUGUUAUGUACUCUUUCAUGUUGGAGCUGCCCCUUUUACCUUCCCAUUGAAAAGUAUCCUCAGUUAAUCCAGGUUAUGAAUCAAGCCUCUUAUUAGUCUCACCAUACUGCUCUGCACAAGUAUGACUAAUGCUUGCCCUUUAAACAUCCUGUGACACUUCUAACAAACUUGUUUGGAACUGACCAAAUUCAGUUGAGGAAAGUCAAGACUGAGUAGGACACAGAUAACAAAGCUCUGGAUUUGUUCUGUUCCCUUCUCAUUCAAUUCUAGGGUUACGUAGGUCUGGCAGCUCCCAAAAACUGGCAGAGUGGGGAUUCCUGCAGGGAUGUCAGCAGGGUAGCAGGGGAGGGCCAGAGGAAGCCUGUCCUGGAGUCCUGCAAGGCAGGGCACAGGGAGCAGGGCUGCUGUAGUUGUCUAUGUGCUGCACAGACACACGCAGGCAGCCCCUACCUAGGCUGAAAUGUUACUGUCCUCAGUGUGGUGCAUGGCUUUCAGGAAAUACAACAGGACCUGGAUGUGGAUAAAUCCUACAGAGAUUCUCCAGCCCCUGCCUUUUUAU
This 1095-nucleotide long non-coding RNA is filed under the name Cyanistes caeruleus (blue tit). RNAcentral's name for it is "lncRNA (ENSCCEG00000010173.1)". The record is from RNAcentral. Lineage: Eukaryota; Metazoa; Chordata; Aves; Passeriformes; Paridae.